RNAcentral lists this ribosomal RNA (501 nucleotides) under uncultured bacterium. RNAcentral's name for it is "partial 16S ribosomal RNA". It matches the Rfam family "Bacterial small subunit ribosomal RNA", at positions 30 to 523 of the family's 1533-position model. The record is from RNAcentral.
AUUGAACGCUGGCGGCAGGCUUAACACAUGCAAGUCGAGCGGGGGAAGGUAGCUUGCUACUGGACCUAGCGGCGGACGGGUGAGUAAUGCUUAGGAAUCUGCCUAUUAGUGGGGGACAACAUCUCGAAAGGGAUGCUAAUACCGCAUCCGUCCUACGGGAGAAAGCAGGGGAUCUUCGGACCUUGCGCUAAUAGAUGAGCCUAAGUCGGAUUAGCUAGUUGGUGGGGUAAAGGCCUACCAAGGCGACGAUCUGUAGCGGGUCUGAGAGGAUGAUCCGCCACUCUGGGACUGAGACACGGCCCAGACUCCUACGGGAGGCAGCAGUGGGGAAUAUUGGACAAUGGGGGGAACCCUGAUCCAGCCAUGCCGCGUGUGUGAAGAAGGCCUUAUGGUUGUAAAGCACUUUAAGCGAGGAGGAGGCUACUUUAGUUAAUACCUAGAGAUAGUGGACGUUACUCGCAGAAUAAGCACCGGCUAACUCUGUGCCAGCAGCCGCCGUAA